This 259-nucleotide ribosomal RNA is filed under the name uncultured bacterium. Its description in RNAcentral is "partial 16S ribosomal RNA". The record is from RNAcentral.
CUGCUGCCUUCCGUAGGAGUUUGGGCCGUGUCUCAGUCCCAAUGUGGCCGUCCACCCUCUCAGGCCGGCUACUGAUCGUCGCCUUGGUGGGCCUUUACCCCGCCAACCAGCUAAUCAGACGCGGGUCCAUCUUGCACCACCGGAGUUUUUCACACUGUCCCAUGCAGGGCCGUGCGCUUAUGCGGUAUUAGCACCUAUUUCUAAGUGUUAUCCCCCACGUGCAAGGCAGGUUACCCACGCGUUACUCACCCGUCCGCCA